This 603-nucleotide long non-coding RNA is filed under the name Sorghum bicolor (sorghum). RNAcentral describes it as "long non-coding RNA (SBIC_LNC011142)". The record is from RNAcentral. Lineage: Eukaryota; Viridiplantae; Streptophyta; Magnoliopsida; Poales; Poaceae.
UGGUGGAAUCCAUACAGGGAGGCCCGGCCCGAAGGGUGGCAGUGGAACAGGAGAUAAGUGGAGCCGUGGAGAAGACCUGAUCCGCAUGAUCAAAUGGGCAGUCAGCCAGUCACUACCAGACCUGACAGCUAAAAACCGUCGGAAAUACGUGAAAACUCAUCAAGAAAUAUUUUCUAACGAUCAGCCGUCAGGAAAAAGCUCGACAGAAAAGGUUCAUUUUUCUUGACAGCUGGCCAAUAGAAAACUUUUCCCCGCGGCAAUCCGUAACCAGUCAACUUUGGUUUCUUUUUUUUUUCCUGCAGUAUAGAAUAAGAAGUAAGAUAUUCUUGAAUACUCUAGUCGGCUCAUAUACAUUUUAUUGUCACCAAUGCUGCAGCACAUUGUUAAAACUGAACUGAAAAAACAAAAUAAAUGCUGCUACACCAUGGUGCCCAAAUUCAGCACAAAGAAGGCAUAACAGUGCUAAAUUCCACAUCACAGUGCUAUUUUUUUUUUUGAAAGAUCUGGAAAACCCGGCUUUGAUUUAUCAUAAGAAGAGAACAGCAGCAACGUUUACAUGCGCGAGAAGCGCGACCACCUACAGCCUAGGCUGUGGGGGAAUAC